Molecule: ribosomal RNA, 666 nt
Filed under: uncultured bacterium
Lineage: Bacteria
Description: bacterial SSU rRNA
Rfam family: Bacterial small subunit ribosomal RNA
Source: RNAcentral
GAGUUUGAUCCUGGCUCAGAGCGAACGCUGGCGGACGCUUUAGACAUGCAAGUCGAGCGAGAAAGCGGCAUUCGGUCGCAAGUAUAGCGGCGGACGGGUGCGUAUAACGUGGAUAACCUGCCUUAAGGACCGGGACAACCUUGGGAAACCAAGGCUAAUACCGGAUAUGACCACGAUGUCUGAGGGCAACGGGGUAAAAGAUGACCGUUUACGGUUGUCGCCUUUUGAGGGGUCCACGUCCUAUCAGGUAGUUGGUGGGGUAAAGGCCUACCAAGCCAAAGACGGGUAGCCGGCCUUAGCGGGUGAUCGGCCACACGGGGACUGAGACACGGCCCCGACUCCUACGGGAGGCAGCAGUGGGGAAUAUUGGGCAAUGGGCGACAAGCCUGACCCAGAGAUGCCGCGUGAGGGCAAGAAGGCCUUCGGGUUGUAACCUAUGUCAAGAGGGAAGAACGGGUCUGCAAAUUACUUGCGGGGCUUGACUGUACCUCCCAGGAGGAAGCCCGGUACUCCGUGCCAGUCAGCUCGUGGUAAUACCGGAGGGGGCAAAGACGGUUGCUACGGAAAUAACUGGGCCGUUAAAGAGGUCACGUAGUGGAUCUUGCAAGUUGGGAGUGGUNACAAGCCACGGAGGCUUAUACAUCACAGGAAGUUGCUUCCAAAAGC